RNAcentral lists this long non-coding RNA (1485 nucleotides) under Numida meleagris (helmeted guineafowl). RNAcentral describes it as "lncRNA (ENSNMEG00000009248.1)". Lineage: Eukaryota; Metazoa; Chordata; Aves; Galliformes; Numididae. The record is from RNAcentral.
AUGCAGCUGCAGAGCUGGUUCAGUCCCAUGAAAAAAAAAACAGUUUCCUCCGCAACUGNNUUGUGUGACGCUGUGCUCCUGUCCGCCUGUUCCUGUGUCACCCUGUCCCCAUGUCACCUCGUUCUUGAGGUGUCACUGCGUCCUCGUGUCACCCCGUCCCCAUGUCAGUCUCUUCCUUGUCACCCCAUCCCUGUGUCACUGCGUCCUCGUGUCACCCCGUCCCCAUGUCAGUCUCUUCCUGUGUCACCCCAUCCCUGUGUCACGGUGUCCUUGUGUCACCCUGUCCCCUUCUCACCCCAUCUUCGCCUCACCCUGUCCUUACGACCCUCCCCAUUUGUGUCACCCCGUCCCUGUGUCACCUCAUCCUUUUGUCACCUCGUUUCUGUGUCACCUCGUCCCCGUAUCACCUAUUUGUGUCACCCUGUCCCCACGUCACCCCGUCCCCAUGUCCCCUUCUGUCUGCAUCACCCCGUCCCCAUGUCCCCUCUUGUCUUCAUCACCCCAUCCCCAUGUCCCCUACCUCUGUGUGUCACCCCGUCCCCGUGUCACCCCAUCCCCAUGUCCCCUCUUGUCUUCGUCACCCCAUCCCCAUGUCACCCGGUCCCCAUGUCCCCUGCCUCUGUGUCACCCCAUCCCCUUGUCACCACAUCCCUGUGUCACCCUGUCCCCAUGUCCCCUGCCUGUGUGUCACCCUGUCCCCGUGUCACCCCGUCCCCAUGUCCCCUCUUGUCUUCGUCACCCCAUCCCCGCAUCACCCCGUCCCCAUGUCCCCUGCCUCUGUGUGUCACCCUGUCCCCAUGUCACCCCAUCUCCAUGUCCCCUCCUGCCUGUGUCACCCCGUCCCCAUGUCACCGCAUCUCCAUGUCACCCUGUCCCCGUGUCCCUUGUCUGUCACCCCAUCCCCACGUCACCCUGUCCCCAUGUCCCCUAUCACCCCAUCCCCGUGUCACGCCGUCCCUGUGUCCCCAUCCCCGUGUCACCCUGUCCCUGUGUCCCCAUCCCCAUGUCACCCUGUCAUCAUGUCCCCUCCUGCCUGUGUCACCCCAACCCCAUGUCACCCUGUUCCCGUGUCCCCUGCCUUUGUGUGUCACCCCAUCCCCAUGUCACCGUGUCCCCAUGUUGCCUCCUGUCUGCGUCACCGCAUCCCCAUGUCACCCUGUCCCUGUGUCACCCCAUCCUCAUGUCACCCCGUCCCUGUGUCCCCUACCUAUUUGUGUCACCCUGUCCCCGUGUCACCCUGUCGCAUGUCCCCUGCCUUUGUCACCCCAUCCCCACGUCACCUCAUCCCCGUGUGCCCUGCCUUUGUCACCCCGUCCCCACGUCCCCUCCUGUCUGUGUCACCCCGUGCCCCCUGCCCGUGUGUGCGGCCUCCUGUUGCUGUCACCCGGUGACGCCGUCCCCGUCCCCAGAUCCAGGCUCGCGGUGACGAGGCGCGGUACUGCUCGCUGCUGCGCCAGCUGCUGGACGACCACAAGGACGUGGUGA